UUAACACAUGCAAGUCGAACGAUGAAGCCCAGCUUGCUGGGUGGAUUAGUGGCGAACGGGUGAGUAACACGUGAGUAACCUGCCCUUGACUCUGGGAUAAGCGUUGGAAACGACGUCUAAUACCGGAUACGAGCUUCCACCGCAUGGUGAGUUGCUGGAAAGAAUUUUGGUCAAGGAUGGACUCGCGGCCUAUCAGCUUGUUGGUGAGGUAACGGCUCACCAAGGCGACGACGGGUAGCCGGCCUGAGAGGGUGACCGGCCACACUGGGACUGAGACACGGCCCAGACUCCUACGGGAGGCAGCAGUGGGGAAUAUUGCACAAUGGGCGAAAGCCUGAUGCAGCAACGCCGCGUGAGGGACGACGGCCUUCGGGUUGUAAACCUCUUUUAGCAGGGAAGAAGCGAAAGUGACGGUACCUGCAGAAAAAGCACCGGCUAACUACGUGCCAGCAGCCGCGGUAAUACGUAGGGUGCAAGCGUUGUCCGGAAUUAUUGGGCGUAAAGAGCUCGUAGGCGGUUUGUCGCGUCUGCUGUGAAAUCCCGAGGCUCAACCUCGGGUCUGCAGUGGGUACGGGCAGACUAGAGUGCGGUAGGGGAGAUUGGAAUUCCUGGUGUAGCGGUGGAAUGCGCAGAUAUCAGGAGGAACACCGAUGGCGAAGGCAGAUCUCUGGGCCGCUACUGACGCUGAGGAGCGAAAGGGUGGGGAGCAAACAGGCUUAGAUACCCUGGUAGUCCACCCCGUAAACGUUGGGC
This 753-nucleotide ribosomal RNA is filed under the name Mycetocola sp. Its description in RNAcentral is "bacterial SSU rRNA". It matches the Rfam family "Bacterial small subunit ribosomal RNA", at positions 48 to 814 of the family's 1533-position model. Lineage: Bacteria; Bacillati; Actinomycetota; Actinomycetes; Micrococcales; Microbacteriaceae. The record is from RNAcentral.